AUUGAACGCUGGCGGCAUGCUUUACACAUGCCAGUCGAACGGCAGCGCGGGCUUCGGCCUGGCGGCGAGUGGCGAACGGGUGAGUAAUGCAUCGGAACGUGCCCAGUAGUGGGGGAUAGCCCGGCGAAAGCCGGAUUAAUACCGCAUACGACCUGAGGGUGAAAGCGGGGGACCGAAAGGCCUCGCGCUAUUGGAGCGGCCGAUGUCGGAUUAGCUAGUUGGUGGGGUAAAGGCUUACCAAGGCGACGAUCCGUAGCUGGUCUGAGAGGACGAUCAGCCACACUGGGACUGAGACACGGCCCAGACUCCUACGGGAGGCAGCAGUGGGGAAUUUUGGACAAUGGGGGCAACCCUGAUCCAGCCAUGCCGCGUGCGGGAAGAAGGCCUUCGGGUUGUAAACCGCUUUUGUUCGGGAAGAAAUCCUCUGGGCUAAUACCCCGGGGGGAUGACGGUACCGGAAGAAUAAGCACCGGCUAACUACGUG
RNAcentral lists this ribosomal RNA (484 nucleotides) under uncultured bacterium. RNAcentral describes it as "partial 16S ribosomal RNA". It matches the Rfam family "Bacterial small subunit ribosomal RNA", at positions 28 to 507 of the family's 1533-position model. The record is from RNAcentral.